Molecule: ribosomal RNA, 246 nt
Filed under: uncultured bacterium
Lineage: Bacteria
Description: partial 16S ribosomal RNA
Rfam family: Bacterial small subunit ribosomal RNA
Source: RNAcentral
UGCGUAACGCGUAUGCAACCUACCAUCAACAGGGGGAUAACACUGAGAAAUUGGUACUAAUACCCCAUAAUAUCUCAUGCGGCAUCGCAUGGGGUUGAAAACUCCGGUGGUUGAUGAUGGGCAUGCGUUGUAUUAGCUAGUUGGUGAGGUAACGGCUCACCAAGGCGACGAUACAUAGGGGGACUGAGAGGUCAACCCCCCACAUUGGUACUGAGACACGGACCAAACUCCUACGGGAGGCAGCAG